RNAcentral lists this ribosomal RNA (916 nucleotides) under uncultured archaeon. Its description in RNAcentral is "bacterial SSU rRNA". It matches the Rfam family "Archaeal small subunit ribosomal RNA", at positions 1 to 922 of the family's 1478-position model. The record is from RNAcentral.
UUCCGGUUGAUCCCGCCGGAGGUCACUGCUAUUGGGAUUCGACUAAGCCAUGCGAGUCGAGAGGGUUCGGCCCUCGGCUGACGGCUCAGUAACACGUGGAUAAUCUGCCCUUAGGUGGAGGAUAAUCUCGGGAAACUGAGGAUAAUACUCCAUAGAUCUAGGAUGCUGGAAUGCAUCUAGAUUGAAAGCUCCGGCGCCUAAGGAUGAGUCUGCGGACUAUCAGGUUGUAGUCAGGGUAAAGACCUGACUAGCCUACGACGGAUACGGGUUGUGAGAGCAAUAACCCGGAGACGAUAUCUGAGACACGAUAUCGGGCCCUACGGGGCGCAGCAGGCGCGAAAACUUCACACUGUGCGAAAGCGCGAUGAGGGAAUCCCAAGUGUUUGCUCGUAAGAGUAAACUGUUUCUUUGUUUAAAACGCAGAGAGAGUAAGGGCUGGGUAAGACGGGUGCCAGCCGCCGCGGUAAUACCUGCAGCUCAAGUGGUGAUCAUUAUUAUUGGGCCUAAAACGUCCGUAGCCGGUUUAGUAAAUGCCUGGGUAAAUCGUGUAGCUUAACUAUACGACUUCCGGGUAGACUGCUAAACUUGAGACCGGGUGAGGCUAGAGGUACUCCUGGGGUAGAGGUGAAAUUCUGUAAUCCUAGGGGGACCACCAGUGGCGAAGGCGUCUAGCUAGAACGGGUCUGACGGUGAGGGACGAAGCCCUGGGGCACAAACCGGAUUAGAUACCCGGGUAGUCCAGGGUGUAAACGCUGCUUGCUUGAUGUUAGUUGGGCUCCGAGCCCAACUAGUGUCGGAGAGAAGUUGUUAAGCAAGCUGCCUGGGAAGUACGGUCGCAAGGCUGAAACUUAAAGGAAUUGGCGGGGGGAGCACAACAACGGGUGGAGCGUGCGGUUUAAUUGGAUUCAACGCCGGG